This 405-nucleotide ribosomal RNA is filed under the name bacterium enrichment culture clone ALO1_GLFRUDD03FSOC0. RNAcentral's name for it is "bacterial SSU rRNA". It matches the Rfam family "Bacterial small subunit ribosomal RNA", at positions 9 to 416 of the family's 1533-position model. The record is from RNAcentral.
GAGUUUGAUCAUGGCUCAGAUUGAACGCUGGCGGCAUGCCUUACACAUGCAAGUCGAACGGCAGCACGGGAGCUUGCUCCUGGUGGCGAGUGGCGAACGGGUGAGUAAUGCAUCGGAACGUAUCCUGGAGUGGGGGAUAACGUAGCGAAAGUUACGCUAAUACCGCAUAUUCUGUGAGCAGGAAAGCGGGGGACCUUCGGGCCUCGCGCUCUUGGAGCGGCCGAUGUCGGAUUAGCUAGUUGGUGAGGUAAAGGCUCACCAAGGCGACGAUCCGUAGCAGGUCUGAGAGGAUGAUCUGCCACACUGGAACUGAGACACGGUCCAGACUCCUACGGGAGGCAGCAGUGGGAAUUUUGGACAAUGGGGCAACCCUGAUCCAGCCAUGCCGCGUGAGUGAAGAAGGCC